This 483-nucleotide ribosomal RNA is filed under the name uncultured bacterium. Its description in RNAcentral is "partial 16S ribosomal RNA". It matches the Rfam family "Bacterial small subunit ribosomal RNA", at positions 29 to 507 of the family's 1533-position model. The record is from RNAcentral.
AUUGAACGCUGGCGGAAUGCUUUACACAUGCAAGUCGAACGGCAGCACGGGGGCAGCCCUGGUGGCGAGUGGCGAACGGGUGAGUAAUACAUCGGAACGUGCCCGGUCGUGGGGGAUAACGUAGCGAAAGUUACGCUAAUACCGCAUACGAUCUGAGGAUGAAAGCGGGGGACCUUCGGGCCUCGCGCGAUCGGAGCGGCCGAUGUCAGAUAGGUAGUUGGUGGGGUAAAGGCCUACCAAGCCGACGAUCUGUAGCUGGUCUGAGAGGACGACCAGCCACACUGGGACUGAGACACGGCCCAGACUCCUACGGGAGGCAGCAGUGGGGAAUUUUGGACAAUGGGCGCAAGCCUGAUCCAGCCAUUCCGCGUGCAGGACGAAGGCCUUCGGGUUGUAAACUGCUUUUGUACGGAACGAAAAGGCUCUGGCUAAUACCUGGGGCUCAUGACGGUACCGUAAGAAUAAGCACCGGCUAACUACGUG